Molecule: ribosomal RNA, 301 nt
Filed under: uncultured bacterium
Lineage: Bacteria
Description: partial 16S ribosomal RNA
Rfam family: Bacterial small subunit ribosomal RNA
Source: RNAcentral
CAGUCGCCGCGGUAAAACGGAGGGUGCAAGCGUUAAUCGGAAUUACUGGGCGUAAAGCGCACGCAGGCGGUCUGUCAAGUCGGAUGUGAAAUCCCCGGGCUCAACCUGGGAACUGCAUUCGAAACUGGCAGGCUAGAGUCUUGUAGAGGGGGGUAGAAUUCCAGGUGUAGCGGUGAAAUGCGUAGAGAUCUGGAGGAAUACCGGUGGCGAAGGCGGCCCCCUGGACAAAGACUGACGCUCAGGUGCGAAAGCGUGGGGAGCAAACAGGAUUAGAUACCCCUGUAGUCCCUGUCUCUUAUAC